AGCCGAAACGCCCCACGGGGCGUCCACCGGGGAUCGCCUCCCGGCGCUGAUGAUGGCAGGCGCGA
Molecule: non-coding RNA, 65 nt
Filed under: Lawsonibacter sp.
Lineage: Bacteria; Bacillati; Bacillota; Clostridia; Eubacteriales; Oscillospiraceae
Source: RNAcentral